UGGGUUUCCUCAGGAGAGUGGCUGGCGUCUCCUUUAGGGAUAGGGUGAGAAGCUCAGCCAUUCGCGAGGAGCUCGGAGUAGAGCCGCUGCUCCUUUGCGUCGAAAGGAGCCAGUUGAGGUGGUUUGGGCAUCUGGUGAGGAUGCCCCCUGGGCGCCUCCCUAGGGAGGUGUUUCAGCCACGGCCAGCUGGGAAGAGGCCCCGGGGAAGACCCAGUACUAGGUGGAGAGAUUAUAUCUCUGCACUGGCCUUGGGACACCUUGGGAUCCCCCCAGUCAGAGCUGGUAGAUGUGGCCAGGAAAGGAAGUUUGGGGUCCCCUGCUGGAGCUGUUGCCCCCGCGACCCGACCCCGGAUAAGCGGUUGAAGAUGGAUGGAUGGAUGGUAUACGAGGAUACAGUCGUCCUCUUACUUUAAAUCUCAUCUAAAGGCUUUCAGCAAGACACACAUUCAACAUGGUCCAACGUCAGGAGUUUCUGUUGUUAAUUCUGUAAUUGGUGGACAGCCGUCGGCCUGCAGAUCGACCGGCCUCUCUCCUCUCUGGCCUGCUCCUUGUGCACAGCGCUGCUGCAGUGCUACUCUGGAGCCGAGCAGCUUCAGAGUGAAGGUCGCUAGGACUCCGCCAGUGAUCCCUCUGCGGUGUGUGGCUGUGCGUGAGAGAAUGUAUGCGUGUUCAAUAUUUGUAUACUUGACAAUGCAUGCGUUGCGUGCGCGCGCGUGUGUGUGUGUGCGUGUGUGUGUGUGUGUGUGUGUGUGUGCAUGACAGAGGCAGAUGGCUGCUGCAGCAGCAAGGAACUCACCUUGACUGUCAGAGUCCCAAAGACUUUUGUUUUAACCCUCCACAGACUCCCACCUGCCUUCCAGGAGACUGUAUUUUAUACCGAGAACCCCUUUCUCCUGAUGUUGCAUGCACAAUAUUAUUUUUGCAGCUCUCUUACUGCACUUCCUCUUUUCUGCAAGAUAUGUAGGACCAUCAGAGGGUUAUUGUCGGGAUCGAUUUGCUACGGUCCUUUUGUUUGGGGAAUUGUGAAUGUCACACUAACACACUGUGACAGCACUGCAGAGGUAGAGUGACUGCAAUGGGUCACUUUGUCCCCGGGACCACUGGAGGGCGCAAGAGGACAGCGGUCAAGCUGUCAGGCGCUUCUUUUUCUGAGAGACAGCGAGCUCUUCUUAGUGGCCACGGCAAGUCUGUGGCAGUCGGCAGUCAGGACUGUGGCAGCUCAGCGGCAGCCUAGUGGCAGCCCGGUGACAGCCUAGUGACAGCCUAGUGGCAGCCUAGUGGUAGUCUUCAGUCAGGCGUCUGUCAGGCGUCACAACAGCAACAUUCGUUCGGCAGCAGUCAAGAAGCUGCCAAGCUGAGAAGGCGGAGGCUUAUUUUUGCUGUUGUUACGACAGGUCAGCUGCUGUGAAUAAGUUUUGGGAUUUUAGUUGAGUACCCAGAGCCAUCUACGAUUGGACAAAAUAAUGCAAAUAAAAUAGAUAGAUAGAUAGAUACUUUAUUGAUCCCUCCAGAGGGAAAUUUUGGUAUCACAGCUGCAUGUACAGGGAAGAAAAUAGAAUAAAAAGAUACACAUUAUAUACAAUAUAAUAAGAUAGAAAUCUUAAAUUAUUAAAUUAAAUAAUCUAAAACCGAAACAAAAAGAAUAACAAAAAGAAUAAAAAAAGAAAGAAAGAAAGAAAUCAUUUGUUUUAUCAUCUUUAAACGCAUAUUUGUAAAAACAUGAAAUCCAUAAAAUAAAAUGUCUGAAAAUAUCUUCGCUCUUCCUCUGCUUAUCUGUAGGUGUCAGUAUGUGCCGCAAGCUGCCAGUGGCAUUAGUAGUCAGAGGAGUGCCAGUCGAGUAUCAGUCAGGUGUCACAACAACAAAACAUUAACAUUAUCCAAAUAUUAAUAAUGUUUAUAGAAAAAUAAAACAGAUAAAGAGUUUUUUAGUUUACUGUUUUGUUUUUCACUUUUCACACCACAGAGAAUGCUGACGUCACGUACUGCUUACGUUAUGCACUGUUACUGUUACAAAAGCAUUUUGUAAAUGCACUUUACCAUCUUCAAAUGGAUCCCCAUUAUUUUCCUAUUCCUCGUUAUCAUAUGAAUCUAAUCCAUGAUUAUGCCACAGUCCUGACGAUGGCCGCAGACAAGCCUCGCUGUUUUUUUCAUUAGACCUGAUCUAAUUUAAAUUAUUUCUAAAGGUUCAUGCACAAAUAUAGGUGGUCUUGAAGCAUAAACAGAUUUUUUUUCUUCUGCCCCCUAGCUUAAAUAAAAGUAUUUUAUUUAAGUAAAAGUAUUUUUAAGUAAAAGUAUUUUAUUUAAGAGCCAAAAUUAAGCCGUACUUGUUCCGGUAAAACUUUGCUCAGCACCAAUCUUAUCGCAUUUCUAUUGGCGGCCCGCCCAGCCGACCCUGGAGCUGUGCAGUCCAGGAGCGAGGCGACCAGACAAAUAUUUUCCCAAGUCCCUGCCUUGAUAAAAGUUGGAAUUUCACUCCCUUCCUCCUCCUCCUUUUUCUUUUCCCUCACAUCACCCUUUUUAGAUUAGCUCUGUUAGACAAAGGCUCAUUGUGCCGGGCGGCCCACUGGACAGGGAGGAGGUUGAACUAUCUAACGGGGGAUGUGGUUAAAGCAAGAGGCUGACACUCGACGAGACAAUGACAAUGGGGGCCGGGGCCUAAACUUGAUCGACUCCUGCAGCUCCCCCCGAUGAAGCGCACGCUGUAAACAGACUCCACAAUGGACACAGGUGUUGACAAAAGGACACCUAUCCUCUCGGCCGGGCAGAUAUGCUGGUAGAGGAAACGGUUCAAAAAGGAAUACGGCGAGCGGGCGCGUCGAGUUCAAACCCGACACCUUUGUUGUGCUGAAGACACCGAAAACCAGAUGGAAUAUAAUGUGGCAUAUGAGUGUGUGUAAUUGGAGAUGCGGUGAGAAAAAGAUGGGAAUGAAUGGAGAGAAUAGAAAAUGGAAAGCAGGUGGAAUUUUCAUGCCAUGAUUCGAAUCCAAGGUCAGCAGGGGACAUUGGGUUUACACAGUGGAACAGGGAGGGAGAAAGAAAGAGCGCGAGGGAGAGAGAGGGGGAGGAGUGGAAAGACGGAAGAGAAACAACAGAAAACACACUCUGGAGGGAGAAACAACAGAGAAGGGUCGGCAUUGCAGGGCAAACACCUCUUUUACCCUUUUUUUUUGGAUGGGGAUGGGAUGGAGGGGGGCUGGUGUGAGGAUCGAAUGACAGCAAACAAGGAGGGAGAGUGAGAAAGAGGGAGGACAAGGAAAAGCCUCAGUCUGACGCGACCAAACCCAAGAGGAGGAAUGUGAAGGUCUCUGGGCCUCCAGGGGGAGAACACAGGUGUUCCUCCGCGGCGGUGAUGCGUUCGGUUUGCGAGGCCGGAGGCCGGGGGAGGGUCGGUCGGCCGUCCGGCGGUCGGCCGUCCGGCGGUCGGGGCCCGGACGCGAAGGCCCCCUCCGUCUUCUGCUGUCACGGCUCGACCGCGGCCGGUGGCGAGGACCGUUACCUGCCGGCCCGGCGACCCUGCCCCAGGUAGGUAGCACACCUCCAGGGACCCGUCUCACCGGUCUGCGAGUGCAUCACAUGCUUUGAAUAGAGGGACAGGAGACAGGCAAAGUGCGCCUCCGUUAUGAAACAGUGUUGACGGAUGGUCUCCCAGAGGUGUCUGUGAGACACAUUCAGUCAAAAACCCGAGAGCAGCAGGCAAUUCUAUCUAUUUCUGCAACUACCACAUGGAUUGUCAUGCAUUUUUCACCCACAUUCAUGGUCCCCAGAGGAGCCUGCAGUGGCCUUUGUGAUGAUAGCGUUUCUGUAUCUGUAGUUCAUUCUCAGAAACCUUUAGACAUUGUUCUCGUUCUCCCGUGUACUUUUUUUAAGCCAAAGCGGACCGUUGCACCCUCCUAGCUUUCGCACCCGAUCAGCUUUUGUUAUUAAUUACUCUCGGGUGUGAUUUGUUUCGACUCAUUUACAAUGCAAGGUUGUGUGAGCGUGGGAAGCUUAAGCCCCGGAACUGAGGGUUUUUCUUGGCUUGUUCCUCAAGCUGAGAAAUCCAAAUGAGAGCUCCGCUUGUUCAGGAAGCGUGUCUUGCUUUUCUGGAAAAAAACUGUCUUAGUUUUUUUAUCAUCAGUUCAGAAUAAUCACACGGCUCUCGACAGCAUCAAUGAAGGUCAGCAUCAUGCCAAAGUCUGAGCAUCGCCAACUCAGAGUAGUCUCUGUAAUCUACAAGCCAGAAAAGUAGCUCUCUUUCAUCUCACUGUGACAUAACGUGCUUAAAAUAUUAUCACAGGGCCAAUUCAGAUGUAAUAAGUCUUGCAUUUCUGAACUGGUUUAAGCUUUGAAGGGGCCUAAUUAGGGAGAGAUAACAGGAAAGCUGGCGAAAGAGGAGAUUUGUGACGUGUAUAAUCAUGUGAAAUAUUGUUGGACAGUUACAGUAAAUAAUUUGCGUGCAUUCUGUGAUACUGUGAACUUAAUUAAUGUAAACAGAGAUUUACUACUGCAUAUAUUCUUCUCUCCUUGUCAUUCUCAAUACUUUUCUAUAACCAUACAUAUAUAUAUGUAUGUCAGAUAUUUAUAUUUCCUGUUAAGGUACUUUCCCUUGAUUAGCUUCACUCUUUUCAUCUCCCGCUUGUGUAUUCUUAUUCUAG
Gasterosteus aculeatus aculeatus (three-spined stickleback) is the source of this 4634-nucleotide long non-coding RNA. The record is from Ensembl. Lineage: Eukaryota; Metazoa; Chordata; Actinopteri; Perciformes; Gasterosteidae.